This 409-nucleotide ribosomal RNA is filed under the name uncultured bacterium. RNAcentral describes it as "partial 16S ribosomal RNA". It matches the Rfam family "Bacterial small subunit ribosomal RNA", at positions 355 to 755 of the family's 1533-position model. The record is from RNAcentral.
UGGGGAAUAUUGCACAAUGGGCGCAAGCCUGAUGCAGCCAUGCCGCGUGUGUGAAGAAGGCCUUCGGGUUGUAAAGCACUUUCAGCGAGGAGGAAGGGUAGUGUGUUAAUAGCACAUUGCAUUGACGUUACUCGCAGAAGAAGCACCGGCUAACUCCGUGCCAGCAGCCGCGGUAAUACGGAGGGUGCAAGCGUUAAUCGGAAUUACUGGGCGUAAAGCGCACGCAGGCGGUUUGUUAAGUCAGAUGUGAAAUCCCCGCGCUUAACGUGGGAACUGCAUUUGAAACUGGCAAGCUAGAGUCCUGUAGAGGGGGGUAGAAUUCCAGGUGUAGCGGUGAAAUGCGUAGAGAUCUGGAGGAAUACCGGUGGCGAAGGCGGCCCCCCUGGACAAAGACUGACGCUCAGGUGCG